UCCCAGCUCAAUCGGUAGAGCGUCAGACUCUUAGUAUGAAUAUACCAAUAGUAAUCUGAAGGUUGCGGGUUCGACCCCCGCGUUGGGCU
RNAcentral lists this transfer RNA (89 nucleotides) under Lachnellula subtilissima. RNAcentral describes it as "tRNA-Lys". The stretch from base 5 to 81 matches the Rfam family "tRNA", at positions 9 to 63 of the family's 71-position model. Rfam says of the family: Transfer RNA (tRNA) molecules are approximately 80 nucleotides in length. Lineage: Eukaryota; Fungi; Ascomycota; Leotiomycetes; Helotiales; Lachnaceae. The record is from RNAcentral. RNAcentral also lists the same sequence under 1 other name.